ACAGGUUCUCACUAAGUUACCCAGACAGGCCUUGAACUUGAGAUCCUCCUGCCUCAGCCUCCUGAGUUGAUGUGCCACCAUGGCCAGCUUCCACCUUACAUUUAGACACCCACCCACAUGAAUACCCCUCAGGUGGAAAUGCUGGACAGUCCCCCCAACCCCGAAGGCCCCCGUCUCGCAGCCUCCCAACCACUACUCUGACUUCAGUCACUGUAGAUGAGUCUUUCCUGUCCUCGAUCAUAUAAAGGAAACCUGUGGCGCAUACUAAUCAGCAACAGUCUCUUUGUUGCAUGUUACACUGUGAGAGUGACGCGCGUAGCUCUACGCAGCUGAAGUUGAAUUGCGUGGUCGGACUCUGCCGGCAUUUCCACCCUGUCCUGCGGUUGGAGGGCACUCGGGCUGUUCUCAGUAGUUCUGGCAUUUUGAAUAAGGUUUCUCUGAACAGUUUUUAAAUAGACAUUUAUUGAAUUAGUGCCGUAUGCCAAGAGAUAUGGUAGAUGCUCCUAUGUGGGUCAUUGUUGUCCAGAGUCACUGGGCCCUAAGACGUGCUGGGGGACCUAGACCAUCUGGGGGUGCAUAACACAGCCUGCCUUCUUCACGUGUUUGAGUGCGCUGCCCAGCUCCCCAGCUCUCGCUUCCCAGGAUGAAGCUCUGUCCCCAGUCCACACCACUUGCUGUGCCCGGCCCCCCAGCACCUGGCCGCCCGUCUGCUUUCUGUCUCUAGGAACGGGGCCGCUCUCGGCCCCCGUGUGAGUGGAGUUCAAGCCGUGGUUGAGCCGUGGUUGGGACUCCUUCCUGCCGCGGUGCGUGUGUGCACCACAGUCGCGUGUCCAUCACGGAGGGGACCCUCGGUGGCUUCUGCCUUUUGCUGUGGCCAGCAGUGCAGCAGGAGCAGGGUGAACGGGCAUCUGCUUGGCUGGGUACAGACCCAGGAGUGCUGCCCGAGCGCUGGUCCUACGCCUGGCUCUCAGGGGAAGUGCUGCGUGCUUCCUACAGGACGUCCAGCUCCUCGCUCCACCAGGGCUUGGUGCCUGCCGAUUUUCCCGUUCUUUGUGCCGGCCACCCUAUCAGACGUGACGUCUCGUGUUCUGGUGUGAUUUGGCUAUGUUUUGUGCUGGGGAUUGGAUCCAGGGCUGCUCUACCUCUGAGCUGCACCCCGGCCCUUUUUAUUUUUUAUUUUUCGACAGGGUCCAGGAACAGGAUCUUAGACCUAAGAACACUCCCGUGCCUACCCUCGUGGGUGUGCUCACUCUCCCGGGGCAGGAGCUCAGCUUUCCUAGGGACCAGCAGCACCCCACGACUGUCCAGCCCUCUGUCCAGCGGGAGUCCCCGCUGGUCCUGCCUUCACCCACACUUGCUGUUGUCGAGGUCUCACAACUGGCCUUUCUAGAGGGACGCCACUUUUGGACAGGGCUCCUGCACUGGGUCCCAACAGACCAGGCUGAAAACCACAUGGAGUCACCCACGCUGAAGUUGUGUGUCAGCGACAGCUGUUUCCCUGACCUUCCAAGAAACCAGGAGAGAAAGAGCCACAUUUCUCAAACAGACCAGUUUCAGUGAGCAACAACAGAAGCCACCUCCAGCUACCCUAGGCAGGAAACAAAGUCGCCUCUUCCCUAAUCCUUAACGUAGAACAUGACCCAGAGAGGCCAGGGUGGACAACCUGUUGUUUUUCUCUUGUUCCGGCCCUGCCUUCCAAGUGACAUUGAGGUGACCAGUCCUCAUUCCUGCUCUGCCCAGCCCUUCCUGUCUGUAAACCAACUGCCCAUGCUCAGCCCACGGCACGCCGACUCUGUUUAUGCAGUGGGGUGAUGCCCAAUUCUGGAAACACAGAAUAAAGCCGAUGAGGAUCUUUAAAUUAAA
This is a non-coding RNA of Marmota flaviventris (yellow-bellied marmot), 1863 nucleotides long. NCBI's taxonomy places the organism in Eukaryota, Metazoa, Chordata, Mammalia, Rodentia, Sciuridae. The record is from RefSeq and is a predicted model, not a curated record.